This 482-nucleotide ribosomal RNA is filed under the name uncultured bacterium. Its description in RNAcentral is "partial 16S ribosomal RNA". It matches the Rfam family "Bacterial small subunit ribosomal RNA", at positions 28 to 523 of the family's 1533-position model. The record is from RNAcentral.
GAUGAACGCUGGCGGCGUGCUUAACACAUGCAAGUCGAACGAUGAUCCGGUGCUUGCAUCGGGGAUUAGUGGCGAACGGGUGAGUAACACGUGAGUAACCUGCCCUUAACUCUGGGAUAAGCCUGGGAAACUGGGUCUAAUACCGGAUAUGACUCCUCAUCGCAUGGUGGGGGGUGGAAAGCUUUUGUGGUUUUGGAUGGACUCGCGGCCUAUCAGCUUGUUGGUGAGGUAAUGGCUCACCAAGGCGACGACGGGUAGCCGGCCUGAGAGGGUGACCGGCCACACUGGGACUGAGACACGGCCCAGACUCCUACGGGAGGCGGCAGUGGGGAAUAUUGCACAAUGGGCGGAAGCCUGAUGCAGCGACGCCGCGUGAGGGAUGACGGCCUUCGGGUUGUAAACCUCUUUCAGUAGGGAAGAAGCGAAAGUGACGGUACCUGCAGAAGAAGCGCCGGCUAACUACGUGCCAGCCGCCGCAGUAA